GACGAACGCUGGCGGCGUGCCUAAUACAUGCAAGUAGAACGCUGAAGAGAGGAGCUUGCUCUUCUUGGAUGAGUUGCGAACGGGUGAGUAACGCGUAGGUAACCUGCCUGGUAGCGGGGGAUAACUAUUGGAAACGAUAGCUAAUACCGCAUGAUAUUAAUUGUCGCAUGAUAAUUAAUUGAAAGAUGCAAUUGCAUCACUACCAGAUGGACCUGCGUUGUAUUAGCUAGUUGGUGAGGUAACGGCUCACCAAGGCGACGAUACAUAGCCGACCUGAGAGGGUGAUCGGCCACACUGGGACUGAGACACGGCCCAGACUCCUACGGGAGGCAGCAGUAGGGAAUCUUCGGCAAUGGGGGGAACCCUGACCGAGCAACGCCGCGUGAGUGAAGAAGGUUUUCGGAUCGUAAAGCUCUGUUGUAAAGAGAAAGAAACGGGUGGAG
This 443-nucleotide ribosomal RNA is filed under the name Streptococcus sanguinis. Its description in RNAcentral is "bacterial SSU rRNA". It matches the Rfam family "Bacterial small subunit ribosomal RNA", at positions 28 to 461 of the family's 1533-position model. Lineage: Bacteria; Bacillati; Bacillota; Bacilli; Lactobacillales; Streptococcaceae. The record is from RNAcentral.